RNAcentral lists this ribosomal RNA (378 nucleotides) under Scyllarides haanii. Its description in RNAcentral is "partial 12S ribosomal RNA". Lineage: Eukaryota; Metazoa; Arthropoda; Malacostraca; Decapoda; Scyllaridae. The record is from RNAcentral.
AGAUACCCUGUUUUCUAUAUUUAAAAGUUUAGUGGAAAAAGCUAGAGUAGUAAGAAUUAAUGGGUUUAAAAUUCAAAGAGUUUGGCGGUAUUUUAGUCCAGUUAGAGGAACCUGUUUUAUAAACGAUAAUCCUCGUAGAAUCUUUCUUGCUUUUAUAUAGUUAGUAUACCUUCAUUAUUAGAUGAUUUUUGAUAUAAAUUAUUGUAAUUGACCUAAAUCAAAGAUAUUAGAUCACGGUGCUGCUGAUAAGCAAGUAUAAAUGGGUUACAAUAAAAUUGAGUUAGACGGAUCUAUUAAAGAAAAUAAUAGUAAAGGUGGAUUUAAUUGUAAUGCGGGUUUAAUAAGCCUGCUUGAUAAAGGCUCUAAAAUGGUACAUAU